This 494-nucleotide ribosomal RNA is filed under the name uncultured bacterium. RNAcentral describes it as "partial 16S ribosomal RNA". It matches the Rfam family "Bacterial small subunit ribosomal RNA", at positions 28 to 506 of the family's 1533-position model. The record is from RNAcentral.
GACAAACGCUGGCGGCGUGCCUAAUACAUGCAAGUAGAACGCUGAAGGAGGAGCUUGCUCUUCUGGAUGAGUUGCGAACGGGUGAGUAACGCGUAGGUAACCUGCCUGGUAGCGGGGGAUAACUAUUGGAAACGAUAGCUAAUACCGCAUAACAGUAGAUGUUGCAUGACAUUUACUUAAAAGGUGCAAUUGCAUCACUACCAGAUGGACCUGCGUUGUAUUAGCUAGUUGGUGGGGUAACGGCUCACCAAGGCGACGAUACAUAGCCGACCUGAGAGGGUGAUCGGCCACACUGAGACUGAGACACGGCCCAGACUCCUACGGGAGGCAGCAGUAGGGAAUCUUCGGCAAUGGACGGAAGUCUGACCGAGCAACGCCGCGUGAGUGAAGAAGGUUUUCGGAUCGUAAAGCUCUGUUGUAAGAGAAGAACGAGUGUGAGAGUGGAAAGUUCACACUGUGACGGUAUCUUACCAGAAAGGGACGGCUAACUACGU